This 594-nucleotide ribosomal RNA is filed under the name uncultured bacterium. RNAcentral describes it as "bacterial SSU rRNA". It matches the Rfam family "Bacterial small subunit ribosomal RNA", at positions 8 to 615 of the family's 1533-position model. The record is from RNAcentral.
AGAGUUUGAUCCUGGCUCAGAAUGAACGUUGGCGGCGUGGAUUAGGCAUGCAAGUCGUGCGAGAAUCUCCUUCGGGAGAGGACAGCGGCGAAAGGGAGAGUAACAGGUGGUUACAUACCCUCAGGUUCGGGAUAGUGUCGGGAAACUGACAGUAAUACCGAAUAACAUCUAAGGAUCAAAGGUGUGAUUCCGCCUGAGGAUUGGACCGCUUUCUAUUAGCUUGUUGGCGGGGUAAUGGCCCACCAAGGCUGCGAUGGAUACCGGGUGUGAGAGCAUGGCCCGGCUCACUGGGACUGAGACACUGCCCAGACACCUACGGGUGGCUGCAGUCGAGAAUCUUCGGCAAUGGACGAAAGUCUGACCGAGCGACGCCGCGUGCGGGAUGAAGGCCUUCGGGUUGUAAACCGCUGUCAGUUGGGAGGAAAUAUUAGGGGGUACUCCCCUUAAUUUGACCGAUCUUCAGAGGAAGGACGGGCUAAGUUCGUGCCAGCAGCCGCGGUAAGACGAACCGUCCAAACGUUAUUCGGUAUCACUGGGCUUAAAGCGUGCGUAGGCGGCCUGGUAGGUGAGAUGUGAAAGCCCACGGCUCAACCG